UGGGGAGUCGUCUAAUGGUAGGACUGCAGAUUCUGGAUCUGCCUGUUGGGGUUCGAAUCCCUGCUCCCCAGUCA
Molecule: transfer RNA, 74 nt
Filed under: Anaerolineae bacterium
Lineage: Bacteria; Bacillati; Chloroflexota; Anaerolineae
Description: tRNA-Gln
Rfam family: tRNA
About the family: Transfer RNA (tRNA) molecules are approximately 80 nucleotides in length. Their secondary structure includes four short double-helical elements and three loops (D, anti-codon, and T loops).
Source: RNAcentral